GAUUCCUCCUUCACGUCUCCUCCUCGUUUUCUCAUUCGACUGAAGAGUGGAGAACGUUUUGUCAUUCGAUUGAAGAGGGGAGCCGCUGGACGGACAUGCGGUGACAGUGAGAGGGGUCAGUCGACGGGAAUCGCUGGCGGCUGACGGGAGUCGAGCAUCAAGGGGAUUUGGUGGGAGAUGUUCGGUUCUUCUGUUCCUAUGCUUGAAAGUAUAGCAAUCAAAAUUUUAAGUCAACCAUGCAGCGGAUCAGCCUGUGAAUGAAAUUGGAGUGCAUUUGAUGCUGCUAACAUGAAGAAAAGAAACAAUCUUGCACCAUCAAGAUUAACAAAUUUGGUCUUCGUUAGAAUGAAUAUGCAUUUGCAAAGCAAGGCUCUAGAAUUGAAGAAGACCAAUGCAAAUCCUAUCUACAUUGAACAUGUGAACCCAUUUGCUGAAGAAGAAAAUUUAAAUACUGAGACAACAAACUUGUCUUCAGAUUCAAAAGAAUAAAAUAUUGAUGGAAGUGGAAGACAAAGAGCUUCAAGGCGUACAAGAAAUGAAGAAGAUGACUCCACUUCUUGGGAUGAAGACUAAGACAUGUUUUCUUUUCACUUUCCAAGUGAAGAAUGACUUCAUUUGUGUUGUAAAGCCAUGAAGGCAAUAAACUUUUGUUAGUUAUGUAUUUGCCAGACUGUUAGUUUUCAUUAUCUAAUUUUAAUUUGUUGCUUAUCUAGUCAUUUUUCAAUGUUUUUUUAA
Nymphaea colorata (pocket water lily) is the source of this 735-nucleotide long non-coding RNA. RefSeq lists it as uncharacterized. The transcript has 2 exons. The record is from RefSeq and is a predicted model, not a curated record. Lineage: Eukaryota; Viridiplantae; Streptophyta; Magnoliopsida; Nymphaeales; Nymphaeaceae.